Molecule: ribosomal RNA, 26 nt
Filed under: Lepidolejeunea eluta
Lineage: Eukaryota; Viridiplantae; Streptophyta; Jungermanniopsida; Porellales; Lejeuneaceae
Also listed under: 2 other names
Description: partial 26S ribosomal RNA
Source: RNAcentral
CGGACCUCAGAUCAGACAAGACUACC